RNAcentral lists this ribosomal RNA (540 nucleotides) under Cryptosporidium sp. GC-2015. Its description in RNAcentral is "SSU rRNA". It matches the Rfam family "Eukaryotic small subunit ribosomal RNA", at positions 333 to 901 of the family's 1831-position model. The record is from RNAcentral. Lineage: Eukaryota; Apicomplexa; Conoidasida; Eucoccidiorida; Cryptosporidiidae.
GUAUUGGCCUACCGUGGCAAUGACGGGUAACGGGGAAUUAGGGUUCGAUUCCGGAGAGGGAGCCUGAGAAACGGCUACCACAUCUAAGGAAGGCAGCAGGCGCGCAAAUUACCCAAUCCUAAUACAGGGAGGUAGUGACAAGAAAUAACAAUACAGGACUUUUUGGUUUUGUAAUUGGAAUGAGUUAAGUAUAAACCCCUUUACAAGUAUCAAUUGGAGGGCAAGUCUGGUGCCAGCAGCCGCGGUAAUUCCAGCUCCAAUAGCGUAUAUUAAAGUUGUUGCAGUUAAAAAGCUCGUAGUUGGAUUUCUGUUAAUAAUUUAUAUAAAAUAUUUUGAUGAAUAUUUAUAUAAUAUUAACAUAAUUCAUAUUACUAUAUAUUUUAGUAUAUAAAAUUUUACUUUGAGAAAAUUAGAGUGCUUAAAGCAGGCAUAUGCCUUGAAUACUCCAGCAUGGAAUAAUAUUAAAGAUUUUUAUCUUUCUUAUUGGUUCUAAGAUAAGAAUAAUGAUUAAUAGGGACAGUUGGGGGCAUUUGUAUUUAA